This 449-nucleotide ribosomal RNA is filed under the name uncultured bacterium. RNAcentral's name for it is "partial 16S ribosomal RNA". It matches the Rfam family "Bacterial small subunit ribosomal RNA", at positions 29 to 523 of the family's 1533-position model. The record is from RNAcentral.
AGCGAACGCUGGCGGCAGGCUUAACACAUGCAAGUCGAACGCAUCCUUCGGGGUGAGUGGCAGACGGGUGAGUAACGCGUGGGAACAUGCCCUUUGGUUCGGAAUAACUCAGGGAAACUUGAGCUAAUACCGGAUAAGCCCUUUUGGGGAAAGAUUUAUCGCCGAAGGAUUGGCCCGCGUCCGAUUAGCUAGUUGGUGAGGUAAUGGCUUACCAAGGCGACGAUCGGUAGCUGGUCUGAGAGGAUGAUCAGCCACACUGGGACUGAGACACGGCCCAGACGGCUACGGGGGGCAGCAGUGGGGAAUAUUGGAGAAUGGGGGCAACCCUGAUCCAUCCAUGCCGCGUGAGGGAUGAAGACGCUAGGGUUGUAAAGCUCUUUCGGCGGGGACGAUAAUGAUGGUACCCGCAGAAGAAGCCCCGGCUAACUUCGUGCCAGCCGCCGCCGUAA